RNAcentral lists this ribosomal RNA (253 nucleotides) under uncultured bacterium. RNAcentral's name for it is "partial 16S ribosomal RNA". It matches the Rfam family "Bacterial small subunit ribosomal RNA", at positions 524 to 776 of the family's 1533-position model. The record is from RNAcentral.
UACGAAGGGGGCUAGCGUUGUUCGGAAUUACUGGGCGUAAAGCGCGCGCAGGCGGUUCUUCAAGUCAGUGGUGAAAGCCCGGAGCUCAACUCCGGAACUGCCAUUGAAACUGUUUGGCUCGAGUACGAGAGAGGUGAGUGGAAUUCCCAGUGUAGAGGUGAAAUUCGUAGAUAUUGGGAAGAACACCGGUGGCGAAGGCGGCUCACUGGCUCGUAACUGACGCUCAUGCACGACAGCGUGGGGAUCAAACAGG